GACGAACGCUGGCGGCGUGCCUAAUACAUGCAAGUAGAACGCUGAAGAGAGGAGCUUGCUCUUCUUGGAUGAGUUGCGAACGGGUGAGUAACGCGUAGGUAACCUGCCUUGUAGCGGGGGAUAACUAUUGGAAACGAUAGCUAAUACCGCAUAACAAUGGAUGACACAUGUCAUUUAUUUGAAAGGGGCAAUUGUUCCACUACAAGAUGGACCUGCGUUGUAUUAGCUAGUAGGUGAGGUAAUGGCUCACCUAGGCGACGAUACAUAGCCGACCUGAGAGGGUGAUCGGCCACACUGGGACUGAGACACGGCCCAGACUCCUACGGGAGGCAGCAGAAGGGAAUCUUCGGCAAUGGGGGCAACCCUGACCGAGCAACGCCGCGUGAGUGAAGAAGGUUUUCGGAUCGUAAAGCUCUGUUGUAAGUCAAGAACGGGUGUGAGAGUGGAAAGUUCACACUGUGACGGUAGCUUACCAGAAAGGGACGGCUAACUACGUG
This 497-nucleotide ribosomal RNA is filed under the name uncultured bacterium. RNAcentral describes it as "partial 16S ribosomal RNA". It matches the Rfam family "Bacterial small subunit ribosomal RNA", at positions 28 to 507 of the family's 1533-position model. The record is from RNAcentral.